UAGGGAAUCUUCCACAAUGGACGCAAGUCUGAUGGAGCAACGCCGCGUGAGUGAAGAAGGCUUUCGGAUCGUAAAGCCCUGCAGUUGGUGAAGAAGGAUAGAGGCAGUAACUGGUCUUUAUUUGACGGUAAUCAACCAGAAAGUCACGGCUAACUACGUGCCAGCAGCCGCGGUAAUACGUAGGUGGCAAGCGUUGUCCGGAUUGAUUGGGCGUAAAGCGAGCGCAGGCGGAAUGAUAAGUCUGAUGUGAAAGCCCACGGCUCAACCGGGGAACUGCAUCGGAAACUGUCAUUCUUGAGUGCAGAAGAUGAGAGUGGAAUUCCAUGUGUAGCGGUGGAAUGCGGAGAUAUAUGGAAGAACACCAGUGGCGAAGGCGGCUCUCUGGUCUGCAACUGACGCUGAGGCUCGAAAGGAUGGGUAGCGAACAGG
RNAcentral lists this ribosomal RNA (429 nucleotides) under bacterium. RNAcentral's name for it is "partial 16S ribosomal RNA". It matches the Rfam family "Bacterial small subunit ribosomal RNA", at positions 355 to 776 of the family's 1533-position model. The record is from RNAcentral.